CAACGAGUCGAGUUGUUUGGGAAUGCAGCUCUAAAUGGGUGGUAAAUUUCAUCUAAAGCUAAAUAUUGGCCAGAGACCGAUAGCGCACAAGUAGAGUGAUCGAAAGAUGAAAAGCACUUUGGAAAGAGAGUUAAACAGUACGUGAAAUUGUUGAAAGGGAAGCGCUGGCAACCAGACUUGGGCGCUGUUGAUCCGCUAGGGUUCUCUCUAGGGCACUCGGCAGCGCGCAGGCCAGCAUCGGUUUGGGGGGUUGGAGAAUGGCUGGUGGAAUGUGGCUGUCUUCGGGCAGUGUUAUAGCCACCGGUGGCAUGCAGCCUCCCCGGACCGAGGACCGCGCUUCGGCUAGGAUGCUGGCGUAAUGGUUGUCAGCGACCCGUCUUGAAACACGGACCAAGGAGUCUAACAUCUAUGCGAGUGUUUGGGUGUUAAACCCAUACGCGGAAUGAAAGUGAACGUAGGUGAGAACCCGUAAGGGUGCAUCAUCGACCGAUCCUGAUGUCUUCGGAUGGAUUUGAGUAAGAGCAUAGCUGUUGGGACCCGAAAGAUGGUGAACUAUGCCUGAAUAGGGUGAAGCCAGAGGAAACUCUGGUGGAGGCUCGCAGCGGUUCUGACGUGCAAAUCGAUCGUCAAAUUUGGGUAUA
Molecule: ribosomal RNA, 641 nt
Filed under: Podosphaera thermopsidicola
Lineage: Eukaryota; Fungi; Ascomycota; Leotiomycetes; Helotiales; Erysiphaceae
Description: partial large subunit ribosomal RNA
Rfam family: Eukaryotic large subunit ribosomal RNA
Source: RNAcentral